Molecule: long non-coding RNA, 2244 nt
Filed under: Brassica napus (rape)
Lineage: Eukaryota; Viridiplantae; Streptophyta; Magnoliopsida; Brassicales; Brassicaceae
Description: long non-coding RNA (BNAP_LNC000811)
Source: RNAcentral
CAAGCCCAAUUUAUAUUUACUAAGCAGCCUCAUUAACCCAUGUAUUUAGGGUUUUCUAGACUAAUAUAUAUGAUGUAAGAAUCCUACAUUGAAUGCAACUAAGGCUGCGGUUUGUGCAGCCAAAACCUUAUCUUUAUGAAUAUCAUUUCAGAAUCAUUUAGAUCUUGGUGACAACUUAAAUCUCUUCUCCUCUCUUUACUUUCUUGUUCAAUAAAGCUUAAUAAGCUAUCUCUAUUUCUGUUUAAAUAAAGCCCUUUGAGCAUUUUCUACUUUUGUUAUCAUGGUAUCAGAGUUUCAGUCGAUUUUCAUGGGUUACCCUAUCUUUUUCUAGCUUCUGCACCCUCUAUCUAAGCCAUCGACAAUAUGCUGGUUCAUGGGCGAAAUCCAAAGAAAAGAAAGAGACUUUCUGCAAUUGUGCUGCAGAUCUGUGUUGAUAUGACAGUGAAGUUUAAGCUCUACUCUUUUCACCACGGUCGCCUGAUAAGAAAAGCCAGAAGCAGAUCUUCCAAUCGAAGAAGAAGAGGAAGUUGGGCUCCAGCAAAUCAACAUGUUAUUGGGCCUUCCAGAUAAAAGCCCAUCUGCUAAAAAAAAAUAUGGAAACACGAGAAGAAGCGCUUGUGGGAACAAAAGCAGGGGAAGCUCCUUCAUGUCUCUUCAUCAGCGCAUAUCUUCUGGUAUGUUAUGAAUGAUUUAGUGCUAUAGGCUUGGAAUCUGGAAGGAAAAUGAAUAGGCUAGUUCUGGGUUUGAUAGCGAUGAGAUAAAUGGCGACAAGUUUUGUUUUGAUGAGUACACACAAGAUGUUUGGUUAAAUGUCCAGAAGAAAAACAGAUUGUGAAAAUGAGGAGUUUUGAUGGCAGAUGAAUAGGAAAUAGGGAGUUGGGUUUAGGCUGUUGUAGGAUGGAUAUUCUCUUUUGCCGUGAGAUAGCUUAGUCCAGUUAGGAGGAUAAAAAGAAAAAUCCCCAACUUGUUGUAAGACAAAUAGGUCAAAAGAACCUGAAGAUGUUCUCACACUUAUGUCUAUUCUCCAAGCUGAAUAGAGUCAUCUACCUGCCUUCCAUGGAUCUUCAACUACUCAUGCUCCUUUCAAAGCCAGCUCCAUGUGCAUCUUCAAACUUGGCUCAGCUGCUUGCUUCACCACCCGAUGCCAAGUUUGCGGGAGGAUAUUGAAGCCCACAUACAAGCCCAACUUAUAUCUACUAAGAAGCCUCAUUAACCCAUGUAUUUAGGGUUUUCUAGACUAAUAUAUAUGAUGUAAGAAUCCUACAUUGAAUGCAACUAAGGCUGCGGUUUGUGCAGCCAAAACCUUAUCUUUAUGAAUAUCAUUUCAGAAUCAUUUAGAUCUUGGUGACAACUUAAAUCUCUUCUCCUCUCUUUACUUUCUUGUUCAAUAAAGCUUAAUAAGCUAUCUCUAUUUCUGUUUAAAUAAAGCCCUUUGAGCAUUUUCUACUUUUGUUAUCAUGGUAUCAGAGUUUCAGUCGAUUUUCAUGGGUUACCCUAUUUUCUUCUAGCUUCUGCACCCUCUAUCUAAGCCAUCGACAAUAUGCUGGUUCAUGGGCGAAAUCCAAAGAAAAGAAAGAGACUUUCUGCAAUUGUGCUGCAGAUCUGUGUUGAUAUGACAGUGAAGUUUAAGCUCUACUCUUUUCACCACGGUCGCCUGAUAAGAAAAGCCAGAAGCAGAUCUUCCAAUCGAAGAAGAAGAGGAAGUUGGGCUCCAGCAAAUCAACAUGUUAUUGGGCCUUCCAGAUAAAAGCCCAUCUGCUAAAAAAAAAUAUGGAAACACGAGAAGAAGCGCUUGUGGGAACAAAAGCAGGGGAAGCUCCUUCAUGUCUCUUCAUCAGCGCAUAUCUUCUGGUAUGUUAUGAAUGAUUUAGUGCUAUAGGCUUGGAAUCUGGAAGGAAAAUGAAUAGGCUAGUUCUGGGUUUGAUAGCGAUGAGAUAAAUGGCGACAAGUUUUGUUUUGAUGAGUACACACAAGAUGUUUGGUUAAAUGUCCAGAAGAAAAACAGAUUGUGAAAAUGAGGAGUUUUGAUGGCAGAUGAAUAGGAAAUAGGGAGUUGGGUUUAGGCUGUUGUAGGAUGGAUAUUCUCUUUUGCCGUGAGAUAGCUUAGUCCAGUUAGGAGGAUAAAAAGAAAAAUCCCCAACUUGUUGUAAGACAAAUAGGUCAAAAGAACCUGAAGAUGUUCUCACACUUAUGUCUAUUCUCCAAGCUGAAUAGAGUCAUCUACCUGCCUUCCAUGGAUCUUCU